GACGAACGCUGGCGGCGUGCUUAACACAUGCAAGUCGAACGCUGAAGCUUGGUGCUUGCACUGGGUGGAUGAGUGGCGAACGGGUGAGUAAUACGUGAGUAACCUGCCCUUGACUCUGGGAUAAGCCUGGGAAACUGGGUCUAAUACUGGAUACGACAUGUCACCGCAUGGUGGUGUGUGGAAAGGGUUUUACUGGUUUUGGAUGGGCUCACGGCCUAUCAGCUUGUUGGUGGGGUAAUGGCUCACCAAGGCGACGACGGGUAGCCGGCCUGAGAGGGUGACCGGCCACACUGGGACUGAGACACGGCCCAGACUCCUACGGGAGGCAGCAGUGGGGAAUAUUGCACAAUGGGCGGAAGCCUGAUGCAGCGACGCCGCGUGAGGGAUGACGGCCUUCGGGUUGUAAACCUCUUUCAGCACGGAAGAAGCGAAAGUGACGGUACGCGCAGAAGAAGCGCCGGCUAACUACGUG
Molecule: ribosomal RNA, 472 nt
Filed under: uncultured bacterium
Lineage: Bacteria
Description: partial 16S ribosomal RNA
Rfam family: Bacterial small subunit ribosomal RNA
Source: RNAcentral